Molecule: ribosomal RNA, 460 nt
Filed under: uncultured bacterium
Lineage: Bacteria
Description: SSU rRNA
Rfam family: Bacterial small subunit ribosomal RNA
Source: RNAcentral
AGGACUAACGCUGGCGGCGUGCCUAACACAUGCAAGUCGAACGAGGUAGCAAUACCUAGUGGCAGACGGGUGAGUAACACGUAGUCAACCUUCCCGAUAGUGGGGGAUAACUAGCCGAAAGGUUAGCUAAUACCGCAUACGAUCUUCGAGUGGCAUCAUUUGAAGAUGAAAGGAGCAAUCCGCUUUCGGACGGGACUGCGUCCCAUUAGCUAGAUGGUGGGGUAAUGGCCUACCAUGGCAACGAUGGGUAGCUGGUUUGAGAGAGCGACCAGCCACACUGGGACUGAGAAACGGCCCAGACUCCUACGGGAGGCAGCAGUGAGGAAUUUUCCGCAAUGGGCGAAAGCCUGACGGAGCGACGCCGCGUGUGGGAAGAAGGCCUUCGGUCGUAACCACUGUCGAAGGGAAAUACUGAUGGUACCCUUGGAGGAAGCCCGGCUAACUACGCGCCAGCAGCCGC